Molecule: transfer RNA, 73 nt
Filed under: Prosthecobacter sp.
Lineage: Bacteria; Pseudomonadati; Verrucomicrobiota; Verrucomicrobiia; Verrucomicrobiales; Verrucomicrobiaceae
Also listed under: 1 other name
Description: tRNA-Gly
Rfam family: tRNA
About the family: Transfer RNA (tRNA) molecules are approximately 80 nucleotides in length. Their secondary structure includes four short double-helical elements and three loops (D, anti-codon, and T loops). Further hydrogen bonds mediate the characteristic L-shaped molecular structure. tRNAs have two regions of fundamental functional importance: the anti-codon, which is responsible for specific mRNA codon recognition, and the 3' end, to which the tRNAs corresponding amino acid is attached (by aminoacyl-tRNA synthetases). tRNAs cope with the degeneracy of the genetic code in two manners: having more than one tRNA (with a specific anti-codon) for a particular amino acid; and 'wobble' base-pairing, i.e. permitting non-standard base-pairing at the 3rd anti-codon position.
Source: RNAcentral
GCGGUCAUCGUUCAAUAGCAGGACGCGGCCAUGCCAACGCUGCAACGCCGGUGCAAGCCGGCUGACCGCACCA